RNAcentral lists this long non-coding RNA (293 nucleotides) under Lathyrus oleraceus (garden pea). Its description in RNAcentral is "Pisum sativum (pea) long non-coding RNA (PSAT_LNC028461)". Lineage: Eukaryota; Viridiplantae; Streptophyta; Magnoliopsida; Fabales; Fabaceae. The record is from RNAcentral.
AAUUUGUUAGUUAAAGAAAUGAUGUUUUCAAGUUUUUUUUGGAAGAAAUGAUGUUUUCGAGCUUGGUUUAGUGGAGAAAUAUAAUGUCAUAAAUGAAAAAUGAUGUUUGGAGGUAGGAAAUGAAGUUCGUCUAAGUUGGAAGUUCAUGUAAAUUUUAGGUUUCACGCGAAUCACUAAUGGUAGUGUCUUGAGCGUUGACACUCACUAAAUGGAUGACAAAUAUUUGUUUAAGAACAAUGAAGAAACUCAAUAAACACGCUUAUAUUUCCCCAUGACCUUGACUGAUAUUUCAC